RNAcentral lists this ribosomal RNA (201 nucleotides) under Listeria monocytogenes. Its description in RNAcentral is "partial 16S ribosomal RNA". It matches the Rfam family "Bacterial small subunit ribosomal RNA", at positions 80 to 274 of the family's 1533-position model. Lineage: Bacteria; Bacillati; Bacillota; Bacilli; Caryophanales; Listeriaceae. The record is from RNAcentral.
GCUCUUCCAAAGUUAGUGGCGGACGGGUGAGUAACACGUGGGCAACCUGCCUGUAAGUUGGGGAUAACUCCGGGAAACCGGGGCUAAUACCGAAUGAUAGAGUGUGGCGCAUGCCACGCUUUUGAAAGAUGGUUUCGGCUAUCGCUUACAGAUGGGCCCGCGGUGCAUUAGCUAGUUGGUAGGGUAAUGGCCUACCAAGGC